CUACAGGCGCACACUACUACCCCCACCGCGCACGCCGCCCUACCCCGCCUCCUGCUCCGCCGCCGCCGCCGCCGCCGAUGGACCCGCUCUCCGCCCUCCGCGACUUCACCAUGCGCGGCGACCUCGAGAAGGUGGUCCGCGCCGGCGAGGAGUUCCGGUUCGGCACCGACUACUCCUUCCCGUGCGCCGCCGAGACGGCGUACCGGUCCAAGCAGGGCAGCCUCUACACCCUGGAGACCCUCCUCUUCUUCGUCACCCACCACCACCUCAAGCACACCGACUACAUCCAGUCCGCCCGCCUCCGCCACCUCCCCACCGUCACCUUCAUCGACCGCAAGCCCCUCCUCGACUACCUCCAGGGCAAGAUCUCCUCCUCCGACGCCAUCCAGCUCUUCCCUUCCUCCUCCUCCUCCGCCUCCGCCUCCGCCGCCGCCGCCGCCGCCGACCCCGCCAUGCCCCCCGACGCCUUCGCCUUCGCCUUCGCCGCCGCCCCCGCCUCCGCCUCCGCCUUCGCCGCCGAGCCCGAGGGGGAGGCGGAGGAGGACGCGGCGGCGGUCGAUGUGAUGGCCCUGGUACGGGCGGUCGAGCGGCCGCUCAAGGACCGGGAGGCGAUCCUGGAGUGCAAGAACCGGGACUUCUACUCCGUGCUCGUCGCCUCGACGCGGCGCGAGGAGGAGCGGCAGAGGAUCGAGUCGCAGCAGCGGAAGGAUGGGCUGGUGGCGAAGAGCCGCCUGAUGGGCGCGGAGGACAGGGGGCUGGGGUUCGGCGAGGAGCUAGGGUUUGGGGAUUCUGCGAUUAAGCCGAAACUGAACCUCAAGGGGAGCAAGAUCGGGGAGGGCGUGCCGAUAAUCCUCGUGCCCAGCGCGUUCCAGACGCUGAUCACGAUAUACAAUGUGAAGGAGUUCUUGGAAGAUGGGGUUUUUAUCCCCACGGAUGUGAAGGCGAAGCAGAUGAAGGGGCCGAAGCCGGAUUGCGUCACGGUGCAGAAGAAGUUCAGUAGGGAUAGGGUGGUGACGGCCUACGAGGUGAGGGAUAAGCCGUCGGCAUUGAAGUCGGAGGAUUGGGACCGGGUCGUGGCGGUCUUCGUGUUGGGGAAGGAGUGGCAGUUCAAGGACUGGCCUUUCAAGGACCACGUGGAGAUCUUCAAUAAGAUAAUUGGGUUCUUUAUGAGGUUUGAAGAUGACAGCGUGGAAUCUGCGAAAAUUGUAAAGCAGUGGAAUGUAAAGAUUAUCUCGAUAAGUAAAAAUAAGCGACAUCAGGAUCGGGCUGCUGCUCUUGAGGUGUGGGAAAAACUAGAAGAAUUUGUUCGGUCACGAUCGCAUGCUUAAUUGGCCAGGAGUUUGUCGAGAAAGCUUUGUGAGGUCUUCUGGACAGUCGUGAGCUCUUUGACCUUUGUAAAUGCUGUCGAUUUACUUUGUAAAGACUCAACUUCCUGACUUAUCCAAAACUCGGAACUGUGCAAGUAUACAACAAUCGGAGCUUGCAACUGAUCCACAUAUGCUUGAACAGCAAAGAACAAGAACCAAGGUACAAGUUCCGUGUGGCAUCGGGAACUGGAAUGAUCGAAUCACUGCGUCCUGCUUCAAGAUUUUUCUCCAGAGGCAAACUCAAAUUUGCUGUUGUCAUCUCUUAAUAAAGAAACGAGGGUGAUUGUGAAGAAAUGGUUUUAUAAUUUUGAUGUUUCUAGGCAUUGAAGCUUCAUGGAGUUCUUUGUAGAUGUAUCCUUAAGGUCCGAAUAUUUCAUGUGCUUUGCACUUCCUAGAUUAUCUCGUGUGAAACUCAAGAGCUUGAUAUUAAUGGUCAUUGUUUUUAA
Syzygium oleosum is the source of this 1813-nucleotide RNA transcript. It is a transcript of the gene named protein CDC73 homolog, with no coding region annotated. The record is from RefSeq and is a predicted model, not a curated record. The transcript is spliced from 4 exons. Lineage: Eukaryota; Viridiplantae; Streptophyta; Magnoliopsida; Myrtales; Myrtaceae.